UUAACCUAAUAUUUAAUUAAAUUGAAGUUUUUACAUUAAUAAUUCAUAGAAUUAUAAUAUCAUAAAGAAAAAAAUAUGCAAAGAGGAGGUCGACCGAAGCACAGUUUUUGGGAAGAAGGAGGAUUUCAGCGUAUUCGUGAAAACGGAAAACAAGUUGCAUCAUGUGUAAAGUGUAAAAAAAUAAUGAAUAAUACCGCUGAACAACGAUUGAAGAGUCACAGGAAGUCGCGUAUUUGGGAAAACUCUGAUUCAAUUUCUGAAUCUGAAGAUAACUGUAAUAUAACAUUGUCUAAAAAACGAAGAAAUCUUUAAGUAACUUUUUUUAUAGUAAUAAUUUCAUUUGAUCUAAUUCAAGAUCUUUAUUUUAAAAAAUUUUGUAAAAUAUUACGGCCUGCAUAUGAAGUCCCUAGUGAAGUUAAGUUAUCGACAACUUUACUUGAAAAAGCUCACGAUAAAUUUACUGAUCGUAAACUAAACUUGAAGGAGAAAAAAGGAACAUUAUUAUUUUGUAAAAAUGUUGCUCAAACAAGUGGCUUAGAGAUUAUUGCUAUAACAAGAACUGGAAAUGAUACAUUAUUUCUAAAGUCUUGGAUCUUGGGAGAAGAACGUGAUUAUAUAAGUAAUUAUUUGCAAAUGAUUAACGAGUCAAGCUCGAUCGCACUUAAAAAGUAUUAUAUAUCAGUGUAUGCUGUGAUAUCAUUUAUAAACAUACCAAAAAAUAAUCGUAUUCUUGAUUCCACAUCAGCAUCGCAACUUCCAUCGGAAUCUAUAUUUAUGUGGCACUUUAAUUGUCAUUUAGAAACUGUCGAUACACUUAUGCAGCAAUUCACGAUGAUUCUUUAGAAAUCAAAAUUAAUCGUCUGUUAAACGCUAUAAAAAGUACUGAUGUUGAAAAAAAAUUAGUAAAACGAGGUGGAGAUACUCUAUCAGCUGUCAAACAAGAUGCUCAGUUUUUAUACUAUUCCAAAUUAUCGGUAUGUCUUAAUAAUUUACCUCUUCUACGUCAAAUUCUUGGUGGAUUGGGAAACUUUAACCGAGAAACGACAUUGAACAUAUUCGAUGAUGUAUUUGAGAAUAAUUUAAAAGAAUCUGUAUCAGUAUUCGAUUUUCUUUCAAAAUUUAUAACUAGAAAUAGUGGAAAUGAUUUUAAUAUUGCUGACGCCAUCGAGGAUUGGUUUAAAUUAAGAUUACUGAUAAAAAAUGAUUAUUUUUUAGACAUCAUUGACAAUGAAUUAAAAAAAAUCAUUACUCCCCGGGCGUUGACGGCAAAUUUUUUGCAUCCAUUAUAUAGAGGUAGUUAUUUCAUGAAAAUUAGUAAAUAUAGUAAUAUAGUUUAUGAAUUUUUGAUUGAUGAACUAGAUGAUACAGGAUUGUAGGAAUUAGAGUGUUUUAAAAAUUCUAAAGGUUUAUUUGCAAAGUUAAUUACUAAAACUACCUUUUCAAAAACUUUUUGGAGUAUAUAGCUUCAGAACAAAAUCCAAAUCUUAGUAUGUUGGCUCAAUCAUUAUUAAAAAUACCAGCAUGUACGAUAAAAUUUAAUCAGUAUGACUUAGGUAAAAACUUACCAGAAAAAUUAGUACCUAAGUUCACUGAUGUUUUUUAUAAUCUUAAAUUUAUGAAUGCUAAUU
RNAcentral lists this long non-coding RNA (1628 nucleotides) under Cotesia glomerata. RNAcentral describes it as "uncharacterized LOC123270420". The record is from RNAcentral. Lineage: Eukaryota; Metazoa; Arthropoda; Insecta; Hymenoptera; Braconidae.